Transfer RNA from Camelus ferus (Wild Bactrian camel), 72 nucleotides. It matches the Rfam family "tRNA". From Rfam's summary of the family: Transfer RNA (tRNA) molecules are approximately 80 nucleotides in length. Lineage: Eukaryota; Metazoa; Chordata; Mammalia; Artiodactyla; Camelidae. The record is from Rfam.
GAGGGUAUAGCUCAGUGGCAGAGUGCCUGCUUAGCAUACACGAGGUCCUAGGUUCAGUCCCCAGUGCCUCCA